Long non-coding RNA from Arabidopsis thaliana (thale cress), 247 nucleotides. RefSeq annotates it as other RNA. Lineage: Eukaryota; Viridiplantae; Streptophyta; Magnoliopsida; Brassicales; Brassicaceae. The record is from RefSeq. The transcript has a single exon.
UUAUGGUCACAUAAGCGAUUAAUACUUUAUUUACGCAUCAUGGGGUAAAUCGAUAAAGUUUACAUAUUAUUCAUUUGGGUUAUUAAUGUAAUUUCACAUGCUGUUGAUUAGUAAGAGAAAGAAAUAUUGAAAAAUUUGUAAUAACAAUUGAAUAAAGCUAAAAGGAAACCUAAGCCCUUAUUGCAAAUCUGGAGGUGGCAAAAAGGGGAAGAAACCCUAAAACGAUUGCCGUCCUACCCGAGGAUUU